This is a long non-coding RNA of Homalodisca vitripennis (glassy-winged sharpshooter), 435 nucleotides long. RefSeq lists it as uncharacterized. Lineage: Eukaryota; Metazoa; Arthropoda; Insecta; Hemiptera; Cicadellidae. The transcript has 2 exons. The record is from RefSeq and is a predicted model, not a curated record.
UUGUCAUUUCUAGCAAAUGAAGAAACAGUGUAUAAAAAUUUUGGAGUAACCUAUUUCGGAGACGUAAAUCAGUCAGAUUGUUCUAGGCUGAAACAUUGUUUUAUUUAACAAAGCAUACAGGCGAAAACCACUUUUAAAAUUUCGACAUGUUGUCGUAGUGGUUUGAUAUAACAUGGGCUUAUAUGUGCAUUGUUAUCUACCAGUGAGAGAUUACAUCAGUUAGUGAAAGUUAUCCUACUCGUCAACUGAAAUAUGGAAUUCUCACUAAAUCUUCAAAUCCGAGUGUCCGCAAGAAGAACCUGGAGGUCCGCUUGGUACCCCUCCAAAUGGUUCCUAUAAGGAUAAAAACAAGGUAUCCACUCAAGAACACGUACUUCAAGUCCGUAUUAAAUAAGUGUUCAUGUAAAAGUCCAGAAAAUAUACGAUCCAAUCAUA